Drosophila rhopaloa is the source of this 197-nucleotide long non-coding RNA. RefSeq lists it as uncharacterized. Lineage: Eukaryota; Metazoa; Arthropoda; Insecta; Diptera; Drosophilidae. The transcript is spliced from 3 exons. The record is from RefSeq and is a predicted model, not a curated record.
CUCCAGCUCAGUGCGGACAGAAACCACAUAUAGAGCAAAAGGGCAAAUGCUGACUUGAUCUCGGUGUUCAGUACACACAGGGACAGCAAAAGCUCGGCCUAUCGAUCCUUUUGGUUUAAAGGGUUUUUAACAAGAGGUGUCAGAAAAGUUACCAUAGGGAUAACUGGCUUGUGGCGGCCAAGCGGUGCUCACGGAGG